RNAcentral lists this unclassified non-coding RNA (226 nucleotides) under uncultured fungus. RNAcentral describes it as "sequence contains ITS1, 5.8S rRNA gene". The stretch from base 178 to 226 matches the Rfam family "5.8S ribosomal RNA", at positions 1 to 49 of the family's 154-position model. Lineage: Eukaryota; Fungi. The record is from RNAcentral.
UCUCCGUAGGUGAACCUGCGGAGGGAUCAUUACUGAGUGAGGGCCUUCGGGCUCGACCUCCAACCCUUUGUGAACACAACUUGUUGCUUCGGGGGCGACCCUGCCGUCCGCGGCUGAGCGCCCCCGGAGGCCAUUAAACACUGCAUCAUUGCGUCGGAGUUAAAGUAAAUUAAACAAAACUUUCAACAACGGAUCUCUUGGUUCCAGCAUCGAUGAAGAACGCAGC